This 422-nucleotide ribosomal RNA is filed under the name uncultured bacterium. RNAcentral's name for it is "bacterial SSU rRNA". It matches the Rfam family "Bacterial small subunit ribosomal RNA", at positions 775 to 1203 of the family's 1533-position model. The record is from RNAcentral.
AGAAAAUAGAUACCCCCGAUAGUCCACGCCGUAAAACGAUGGGCACUAGGUGUCGGGGGGUAUCGACCCCCCGGUGCCGCAGCUAAACGCAUUAAAGUGCCCCGCCUGGGGAGUACGGCCGCAAGGCUAAAACUCAAAGGAAUUGACGGGGGCCCGGCACAAGCAGCGGAGCGUGUGGUUUAAUUCGACGCAACGCGCGGAACCUUACCUGGGCUUGACAUGUUCUGGAAUGUCGGUGAAAGCCGGCAGCCCUUCGGGGCCGGUACACAGAUGCUGCAUGGCUGUCGUCAGCUCGUGCCGUGAGGUGUUGGGUUAAGUCCCGCAACGAGCGCAACCCUCGUCGCUAGUUGGAUUUCUCUAGCGAGACCGCUGCGCGAAAACGCAGAGGAAGGUGGGGAUGACGUCAAGUCAGCACGGCUCUU